Molecule: ribosomal RNA, 309 nt
Filed under: Triticum aestivum (bread wheat)
Lineage: Eukaryota; Viridiplantae; Streptophyta; Magnoliopsida; Poales; Poaceae
Description: partial small subunit ribosomal RNA
Source: RNAcentral
AUGAUGGCCGAACCAGUCAAGCACGUCAAGAUGCUCGCCAAGUUCCUCGGUGUUCCCUUCACCGAGGAGGAGGUGAGAUGUGGGGUUGUAGAGGGUGUAGUGCAGCUGUGUAGCUUCAAUAAGCUCAGGAGCUUACCGGUCAACUCAUCAAGAGUAACUGAUAGGAUUGGUGGGGUGCCAAUGGAGAACGCUUCCUACUUUAGAACUGGGAAGGUUGGUGACUGGGCAAACCACUUGACGGAAGAGAUGUCAAAGAAGCUGGAUGCCAUUGUUGAGGAGAAGCUGAGAGGAUCAGGUAUCACAUUUUGA